This 465-nucleotide ribosomal RNA is filed under the name uncultured Klebsiella sp. Its description in RNAcentral is "bacterial SSU rRNA". It matches the Rfam family "Bacterial small subunit ribosomal RNA", at positions 338 to 795 of the family's 1533-position model. The record is from RNAcentral. Lineage: Bacteria; Pseudomonadati; Pseudomonadota; Gammaproteobacteria; Enterobacterales; Enterobacteriaceae.
CCUACGGGAGGCUGCAGUGGGGAAUAUUGCACAACGGGCGCAAGCCUGAUGCAGCCAUGCCGCGUGUGUGAAGAAGGCCUUCGGGCUGUAAAGCACUUUCAGCGGGGAGGAAGGCGGUGAGGUUAAUAACCUCGUCGAUUGACGUUACCCGCAGAAGAAGCACCGGCUAACUCCGUGCCAGCAGCCGCGGUAAUACGGAGGGUGCAAGCGUUAAUCGGAAUUACUGGGCGUAAAGCGCACGCAGGCGGUCUGUCAAGUCGGAUGUGAAAUCCCCGGGCUCAACCUGGGAACUGCAUUCGAAACUGGCAGGCUAGAGUCUUGUAGAGGGGGGUAGAAUUCCAGGUGUAGCGGUGAAAUGCGUAGAGAUCUGGAGGAAUACCGGUGGCGAAGGCGGCCCCCUGGACAAAGACUGACGCUCAGGUGCGAAAGCGUGGGGAGCAAACAGGAUUAGAUACCCGAGUAGUC